This is a non-coding RNA of Zonotrichia albicollis (white-throated sparrow), 642 nucleotides long. The record is from RefSeq and is a predicted model, not a curated record. NCBI's taxonomy places the organism in Eukaryota, Metazoa, Chordata, Aves, Passeriformes, Passerellidae.
AAGCACUGGAACAAGUUGCCCAGAGAAGCUGUGGAUACCCCAUCCCUGGAAGUGUUCCAGGCCAGGUUGGAUGGUGCCCUGAGUAACCUGACCAAGUGGAAAGUGUACCUGGCCACAGCAAGGAGAGUAAUAGCUGGCUCUGAUAAGCUGGGCAAGAAGGGAGACAAAUUUUGCUACAAUUACUACUGAAAGACCAGGUGAAAAAAUCUCAUUUCAGGAGAAAAUCUUUGCAUUUAGCCUCUUCUGCUUCCAGAAAAGGGUAUCAGAGAUGAUAAGAAAUUCCCAACACGUACAUACUGCAUAAAUACGAGUUUGGCUUGCAAAGCAGAGCGGCUGAUUUAUCCUGCACUACUGAGCAUCAAGACAUAGCUCCUCUUGUGCCAGUGUCAGGCUCAGGACCAGGCCCACUUACCUCCUCUCAAAGACAUCAGUAAGUAUUUGUUACCAGAUGUGAAGCAGACAUAACUUCUUGGGAAAAAAUUAUUAUGAGGACAAUUCCCUAAAGGAAGAAAAAUACCAUAAGUUUAUAUAAUGAAGGAUUCUUCUAACUUCAACAAAAAUAAUCUUGAGCACCUGAGGGAAAAAAGAAGUCAGGUAGAUCCAGAAUGUAAGGCCAGUCUCCUAACUGUUAUAUCUUUUGUG